This 233-nucleotide long non-coding RNA is filed under the name Lotus japonicus. Its description in RNAcentral is "long non-coding RNA (LJAP_LNC002047)". Lineage: Eukaryota; Viridiplantae; Streptophyta; Magnoliopsida; Fabales; Fabaceae. The record is from RNAcentral.
CAAGUUCACAACCGCAAGGUAGUCCAUGAGUCUCUCUCAACAAGCAAUCGCAUCCGCCGUAGGACUUCAUUCUUAUAUGUUCAUCGUCGAUGAGCUGCAGGCAUUUGUUUGACACAAAUCCUCUAAUAUUUGUGUAAAAUGGGAACAUGAAAAUGUGAUCAAUUCUGUGAAUACUGCGCUCAAACGAUGCUAAUAUUUCAGUAUGUCGAUUACAUGUCAAACUAUGCGACGCA